GGCAUGGUGGUUUAGUGGUAAGUACACUCGCCUCACACCUUCUGGGUCGGGGGUUCGAUUCCCGCCACUGCCC
Non-coding RNA from Ameiurus melas (black bullhead), 73 nucleotides. Lineage: Eukaryota; Metazoa; Chordata; Actinopteri; Siluriformes; Ictaluridae. The record is from the annotation of a GenBank genome assembly.